CAGUGCGCGCCUAGCAGUGUCCCAGCCGGGUUCGUGUCGCCAUGGGGCAGAUCGAGUGGGCCAUGUGGGCCAACGAACAGGCGCUGGCGUCCGGCCUGAUCCUCAUCACCGGGGGCAUCGUGGCCACAGCUGGGCGCUUCACCCAGUGGUACUUUGGUGCCUACUCCAUGUAUCCUUCCACCUGAGGCUGGGGUGGGCGGGGAACGCCCAGGGCAGAGCUGGGACACAGGGUGGGCUGUGCACGGGUUGGGCAGCCCAGGCCCCAGCAGCCAGGCCCCUCGCCAGGACCAUGUGGCGAUCAGCGGCAGACCCGCCAGUCUAAGUCCUGGUGAGUGGUGGGCAGGGGGUGUCACCAGAGGGCCAGGGCCAGCACUGAGGCCUCCCUGUUGGACUGCUGGGAUCCCCUCUGCCCGCUCCUGUCAGUCAUCCCCCUUGACCGGCCCCUCUACCUCCUCUGCCCCAUC
This 464-nucleotide long non-coding RNA is filed under the name Homo sapiens (human). RNAcentral's name for it is "non-protein coding lnc-MVD-1:1". The record is from RNAcentral. Lineage: Eukaryota; Metazoa; Chordata; Mammalia; Primates; Hominidae.